This 477-nucleotide ribosomal RNA is filed under the name uncultured bacterium. RNAcentral's name for it is "partial 16S ribosomal RNA". It matches the Rfam family "Bacterial small subunit ribosomal RNA", at positions 30 to 507 of the family's 1533-position model. The record is from RNAcentral.
AUUGAACGCUGGCGGCAUGCCUUACACAUGCAAGUCGAACGGUAACAGGUUAAGCUGACGAGCGGCGACCGGGUGAGUAAUACAUCGGAACGUGCCCAGUAGUGGGGGAUAGCCCGGCGAAAGCCGGAUUAAUACCGCAUACGACCUAAGGGUGAAAGGGGGGGAUCGCAAGACCUCUCGCUAUUGGAGCGGCCGAUGUCAGAUUAGCUAGUUGGUGGGGUAAAAGCUCACCAAGGCGACGAUCUGUAGCUGGUCUGAGAGGACGACCAGCCACACUGGGACUGAGACACGGCCCAGACUCCUACGGGAGGCAGCAGUGGGGAAUUUUGGACAAAGGGCGCAAGCCUGAUCCAGCCAUGCCGCGUGCGGGAAGAAGGCCUUCGGGUUGUAAACCGCUUUUGUCAGGGAAGAAAUCCUUUGGGUUAAUACCUCGGGGGGAUGACGGUACCUGAAGAAUAAGCACCGGCUAACUACGUG